Molecule: long non-coding RNA, 228 nt
Organism: Photinus pyralis (common eastern firefly)
Lineage: Eukaryota; Metazoa; Arthropoda; Insecta; Coleoptera; Lampyridae
Exons: 4
Source: RefSeq, a predicted model, not a curated record
GAUUUGUCUUUAUUUUCAGAGUCGUCACGAAUUGUAGUCCACCCAGAAAAAAAUCGAUCCGUUUUAUUUGAAUUCAAUCCUACUGAGUGCACCGACGGGAUUCGAUGAGCAGCUUUGAAGGGUACUGACCGUAAAGGGAAUUUAAUGGAAUCGAUGUGCCGGUAAGUGUUUCGUACUAUUUAUUACAUGAUGCGCUAUGUCGUCUAACAAUAUUACUUCCUUUUAAUU